Molecule: ribosomal RNA, 464 nt
Filed under: uncultured bacterium
Lineage: Bacteria
Description: bacterial SSU rRNA
Rfam family: Bacterial small subunit ribosomal RNA
Source: RNAcentral
AGUUUGAUCAUGGCUCAGGAUGAACGCUGGCGGCAUGCCUAAAACAUGCAAGUCGAGCGGUAAGGCCCCUUCGGGGGUACACGGAGCGGCGGACGGGUGAGUAACGCGUGGGAAUCUACCCAAACUGAGGGAUAAGCAUUGGAAACGAUGUCUAAUACCGCAUAUGGGUCUUCGGAUUAAAGCUUCGGCGGUUUGGGGAAGAGCCCGCGUAAGAUUAGCUAGUUGGUGAGGUAAAGGCUCACCAAGGGCGACGAUCUUUAACUGGUUUGAGAGGAUGAUCAGUCACACUGGAACUGAGACACGGUCCAGACUCCUACGGGAGGCAGCAGUUAGGAAUUUUCCACAAUGGGCGAAAGCCUGAUGGAGCAAUGCCGCGUGCAGGAUGAAGGCCCUAGGGUUGUAAACUGCUUUUAUACGUGAAGAAUAUGACGGUAACGUAUGAAUAAGGAUCGGCUAACUCCGUG